Molecule: ribosomal RNA, 91 nt
Filed under: Providencia rettgeri
Lineage: Bacteria; Pseudomonadati; Pseudomonadota; Gammaproteobacteria; Enterobacterales; Morganellaceae
Description: partial 16S ribosomal RNA
Rfam family: Bacterial small subunit ribosomal RNA
Source: RNAcentral
UAAUUGAAGAGUUUGAUCAUGGCUCAGAUUGAACGCUGGCGGCAGGCCUAACACAUGCAAGUCGAGCGGUAACAGGGGAAGCUUGCUUCUC